RNAcentral lists this microRNA (20 nucleotides) under Pachycladon cheesemanii. The record is from RNAcentral. Lineage: Eukaryota; Viridiplantae; Streptophyta; Magnoliopsida; Brassicales; Brassicaceae.
UAGUCAAGGCUGACUUGCUG